This 106-nucleotide small RNA is filed under the name Mycobacterium conspicuum. Its description in RNAcentral is "Mycobacterium sRNA ncrMT1302". It matches the Rfam family "Mycobacterium sRNA ncrMT1302". Lineage: Bacteria; Bacillati; Actinomycetota; Actinomycetes; Mycobacteriales; Mycobacteriaceae. The record is from Rfam by way of RNAcentral.
AAGCGAUCAUUCUCAAGCGCCGGACGAAGGGGUGGGCCCGGCCGCGGACGACUUGCGAAGCACGCAGUCGACGCCCCCGGAAAUCGCUCCGGGCCUGCGCAUCUGA